UACGGAGGGGGUUAGCGUUGUUCGGAAUCAUUGGGCGUAAAGGGCGCGCAGGCGGCCUUCCAAGUCCGGUGUGAAAGCCCGAGGCUCAACCUCGGAAGCGCAUUGGAAACUGGAUGGCUUGAGUCCGAGAGGGGACCGUGGAAUUCCUGGUGUAGGGGUGAAAUCCGUAGAGAUCGGGAGGAACACCGGAGGUGAAAACGACGGUCUGGAUCGGAACUGACGCUGAGGCGCGAAAGCGCGGGUAGCGAACAGG
RNAcentral lists this unclassified non-coding RNA (253 nucleotides) under uncultured Bradymonadales bacterium. RNAcentral describes it as "contains 16S-23S intergenic spacer region". It matches the Rfam family "Bacterial small subunit ribosomal RNA", at positions 524 to 776 of the family's 1533-position model. The record is from RNAcentral. Lineage: Bacteria; Deltaproteobacteria; Bradymonadales.